AUUGAACGCUGGCGGCAUGCCUUACACAUGCAAGUCGAACGGCAGCGGGGGAGAAGCUUGCUUUUCCUGCCGGCGAGUGGCGAACGGGUGAGUAAUACAUCGGAACGUGCCCUGUAGUGGGGGAUAACUAGUCGAAAGAUUAGCUAAUACCGCAUACGACCUGAGGGUGAAAGGGGGGGAGCGCAAGGCCUCAUGCUAUAGGAGCGGCCGAUGUCUGAUUAGCGAGUGGGGGGGGUAAAGGCCUACCAAGGCGACGAUCAGUAGCUGGUCUGAGAGGACGAUCAGCCACACGGGGACUGAGAGCCGGCCCGGACUCCUACGUGAGGCAGCAGUGGGGAAUUUUGGACAAGGGGCGACAGCCUGAUCCAGCAAUGCCGCGUGUGUGAAGAAUGCCUUCGGGUUGUAAAGCACUUUUGUCCGGAAAGAAAUGGCUCUGGUUAAUACCUGGGGUCGAUGACGGUACCGGAAGAAUAAGGACCGGCUAACUACGUGCCAGCCGCCGCCGUAA
This 508-nucleotide ribosomal RNA is filed under the name uncultured bacterium. RNAcentral describes it as "partial 16S ribosomal RNA". It matches the Rfam family "Bacterial small subunit ribosomal RNA", at positions 29 to 523 of the family's 1533-position model. The record is from RNAcentral.